This 500-nucleotide ribosomal RNA is filed under the name uncultured bacterium. RNAcentral's name for it is "bacterial SSU rRNA". It matches the Rfam family "Bacterial small subunit ribosomal RNA", at positions 27 to 518 of the family's 1533-position model. The record is from RNAcentral.
UCAGGAGUGAACGCUAGCGAGAGGCCUAACACAUGCAAGUCAGGGGCAGCACAAGGAGUAAUCUGAGGUGGCGACCGGCGCACGGGUGAGUAACACGUAUGCAACCUGGCUGUAAGAGGGGAAUAACCCGGAGAAAUCCGGACUAAUACCGCAUAAUACUUAGAAUCCGCAUGGAUUUUAAGUUAAACAUUUAUGGCUUACAGAUGGGCAUGCGUAUGAUUAGCUGGUUGGAGAGGUAACGGCUCCCCAAGGCAACGAUCAUUAGGGGUUCUGAGAGGAAGGUCCCCCACACUGGUACUGAGACACGGACCAGACUCCUACGGGAGGCAGCAGUGAGGAAUAUUGGUCAAUGGACGAGAGUCUGAACCAGCCAAGUCGCGUGCAGGAAGAAUGUCCCUAUGGAUUGUAAACUGCUUUUGCAGGGGAAUAAAGUGCAUCACGUGUGAUGUUUUGUAUGUACUCUGCGAAUAAGGAUCGGCUAACUCCGUGCCAGCAGCCGC